This 426-nucleotide ribosomal RNA is filed under the name uncultured bacterium. RNAcentral's name for it is "partial 16S ribosomal RNA". It matches the Rfam family "Bacterial small subunit ribosomal RNA", at positions 355 to 774 of the family's 1533-position model. The record is from RNAcentral.
UGGGGAGUAUUGCACAAUGGGCGCAAGCCUGAUGCAGCCAUGCCGCGUGUAUGAAGAAGGCCUUCGGGUUGUAAAGUACUUUCAGCGGGGAGGAAGGUGUUGAGGCUAAUAACCUCAGCAAUUGACGUUACCCGCAGAAGAAGCACCGGCUAACUCCGUGCCAGCAGCCGCGGUAAUACGGAGGGUGCAAGCGUUAAUCGGAAUUACUGGGCGUAAAGCGCACGCAGGCGGUCUGUCAAGUCGGAUGUGAAAUCCCCGGGCUCAACCUGGGAACUGCAUUCGAAACUGGCAGGCUAGAGUCUUGUAGAGGGGGGUAGAAUUCCAGGUGUAGCGGUGAAAUGCGUAGAGAUCUGGAGGAAUACCGUUGGCGAAGGCGGCCCCUGGACAAAGACUGACGCUCAGGUGCGAAAGCGUGGGGAGCAAACA